CAGUGAGUCUGCAUGCCGGCAGUCACAUGGAUGUCUCUGCGUUUUGAGUACUCCAAGUACGACUUGUCAGAGUUGUACUGUAGUUCAUAGAUCAAACCCUCCACAACAAGAUGAGGCCGGAUCCAUCUUGCACAUCUGAAAGAUCACCAUGGAUCUCCAACUGGGGUCGUCUCCACUGUCCUGAACCGAGAUCUGAUGUCUGUGAGGAAUGCAGUCCUACAGCUCUGCGGAAUGAUGGCACUCAUGUAGAUAGGAAAGGAAAACAAAAUACCACUGGUGUCUGUUUUAAAAUCUCUGAAAGUUAUAUUGAGCUUAAAUGACAUAUACUCUAGAUAGAAAUGGAAAUACAAUGUUUUCUUUGAUUAACUUUGCUUUUCUUUAUUGAACUUAAAUGCUCUCCUCGCUGUCUUUUUCUUCUCUGCAGUUUUGAAAGAAUAUUCUUGUGUUUCGUCAAGAUAAAGCUCCACAAGACUCCAAAUUCAGCAAGACUUGUGUUAUACUUGUGGAUACUUGUGAACUUGUGGAUACUGGGAUUGUAAUCAGGAUUCUGACUUUGUCAUGCUUCAUGUUUUCUUAUGUGUUUUACAUAUGUGUUAUGGUUCAUGUAUUCUGUGUCUUAUGUCUCUCGUCUUAUGUUUUGAUUUCCUUGUGUCUUCUUGGUGUUCCCCUCCCUGCUCUUUCCACUAUGUUCUCUCCUCUGUAUUUUCCCAUUCCUCCUUUCUUGUCCAUCUCCCCCUGUCUGUAAGCAUUGUUUCCUUCAUGCCUUCUCCUCUGUCAUCCCCUCAUCAUCUCACCUGUCCUCCUCCCUCCUCUCACCUCACCUGUUCCUCGUCUUGUCAUUAGUGUCUGUGUAUUUAGUUUCUGCCUGCCCUCUUCUCUUUGUCAGGUCAUCGCUUCUGUCUGGUGUCUCCAUGGUGUUUAAUGUCUCCUCCAAGGUCCUUCCUUCGAGUUCCUUGUUUUUCCUGUUUCCAAGUGGGGGCUGAAAAUCAUCAAAGCAUGCUGAGAGAUACAGAUGUUAGCAUGACAUAUCCAGCAGCCGCAGACUUAGGAGCCGAAUUUGGGUUUUUUUGGCAUACCUGAUAAAGAUGUUUGAGCUUCACUGUGUAGAAUGAUGAACGAGCAGAGUCCGACACUAGACCCCUGUUUUCACGUUCAUUGAUCCAAGUGUAGAAUUUCUCUCUCAGUACCUGAUUUUGCACAUAAAUGUAUAUCUGAUGCUUUGUACACAAGUGUGACGUGGGAAAUCAAAGCCUCCAGUACACACAGAUCAAAUACAGUAAGGUAGAGAUCUUGUGUUCAGCAGUGAAUGAAAAUGAUUUCUAUAUUGAUGCAGGCUGGAAUUUUAAUGACUGAGAAGUAGCUGGAACCAUUUUAAGGAAUGUUGUAAUGUGCUUUAGUUUGAAUUAGCUGUUUAGUGCAGCAAAUGUGCUUUCCUUUCUUUAAUCUUGCUGACUUGCAGUGUAUUGCAAAAUGUGCUGUUGAGACUCCCAGAUGUUUCUGCAAUGAUAUCAGAAACAGAUAAGUUACUGUAACGGCACUCAGACAUUGUACAGCGGGCGGAAUCUGUCAAACUGUGAAAUUGCCAUUUCAUAAGGUCCAUUGUAGAAAUGUCCACACAUUGCUGUGCAAAGUUCUUUUUAACUGACUGAGGAGAAAUAAACAGAUUGCU
Acanthopagrus latus (yellowfin seabream) is the source of this 1669-nucleotide long non-coding RNA. RefSeq lists it as uncharacterized. The record is from RefSeq and is a predicted model, not a curated record. The transcript is spliced from 4 exons. Lineage: Eukaryota; Metazoa; Chordata; Actinopteri; Spariformes; Sparidae.